GGAACUGUACAGGAACUGUACAGGAAGACACAUGCUCAGAAUGGCCCCCCUUCUCCUCCCCAGCUCACACCCCACUGACUCAGCAAGCCCAGAGCCACCCCUUCGCACCCCUUCCUGGCCCAGUGCACCCCCAAACCGGCCGUGCAAGCACACCCUUCAGACUUUGUAGCUGCUUUUAUUAUUAAUAUUAUCUUUUCCUUUAAACAUCCCUUUAAGGGUGAAAUGAAAUCCAACCAUUUACAGAGAAAAUGAUUUCAGAAUGUACAUAUUGAUUUUUCCCUUACAAAAAAAAUAAUACUAUUGUUAUUACUGGUGUCCUUAACUUACACGUUUCCCAGGGCCCUGCCUGCUGCUCGGGCAAGUUGUGUUUCCCCACCCCGACGGUCACCUUUGCCCCCAAAGCUCUCCCACGCCUGCCCGUGGGAAGAAAGCUGGCUCUGGCGACAGGGCCAGCAGUGCGCUGGCGGUCACAUUCACAGUUUGGCUUCCCUUUAAUACUGGGGGAGUGGCCCAGGGUUCCCCUGCCCCCGAAAUUCCCAGUGUAUGAUGUGAGUAAAAGUGAAAUUCUUCAACCCCAUGCCUUGGCUCUAAGCUCCUCCCCAAUUCCUUCUCCUGCCCCUGAGCCAGUGGACCGGAGGCCAGGGCCCCCCGGCCAGCCUGGAGAAGGGGGCAGAGAGGUAGCGGGCUUGCAGCUGUACAGCCCUCAGGCCAGGCGGCUUCUUAUUCCAUGGACUGAAAGACAGACAGACAGAUGGCCCCCACGUCCCCUUUCGCCUUGCUUUCCAGGCUCCCCAAGUGGCUGUCAGCCUCAGUCGUUUUGGGGAGUUGCAGGAGGUGUGGCCACAGGCUCCAGGUCCCCGGAAAGGGGCGGCCUGGGCCCUGCUCUCACCUCCACACACAAGCAUCUAUGUACAGGGACACACCGACGUAGACACGUACAAGUACACACCAAGCAUGCACCCAUGCCCAUAAAUACACACACACGCGCACAAACGGGCACCAUUCCACAGGUAGGCUCUGCGUCCUGGCAUUACUGGGUAAACGCCUGAGGGGGCUUGGGGGAGGGGGUGUUCAUCCUGCCCACAACUGCAGGCUCUCACCACACCCGGGCCCUGGGUGGCCAGUGAGGCGGCGGAAGCACUCAUUCUACCCUCUGUCCUCCCCCUCUGCCAGCCAUGCUCCUCGUCCCCACACCCAUCCCCUCCUCCUUCCUUUAAGAAAUGAACGGGGCAGCCCAGCCGAAAACUACUCUUCCCAGCUUCCCUUGCAGCUACUAGCAGCCAUGUGACUAAGUCCUGGCCAGUGAGAUGCCAUCAGAAGUGACUGUGCCACCUCUAGCUCAUGCUCUUACCAGAAAGGGUGUGCCCUCCCCAUGUCUAUUCUGAGUCCCCCAGGCGUGGACGCACACAUGACGGUGGGCGCUGCAGCAACCCCUCUGUCUGGAAUUGGAAGGUGUGACAAAGGGCAGACAGCAGAGCUGCCUGCUAGAGCCAGGCCGUCUCCCUCCCCGGGGGGGGAGUUAGAAACAGGCUUCGGCCUUCCUUCACUCACUGUAUUUUGGGGUCUCUUAAUUACAGCGGUUUAGAAUCUACUCUAGCAAAUACAUCCCCCUCCCCCAUGAGGCAACGAAGGAAUGAGGUGACACAGGACUGGCCUUACUGUCCCUCUUGGGCCGAGGGCAGGCUUGUGGCUCCUUCCUGGCCCCGAGGCAGCCCCAAGGAGGGGCACUUGGGUGACUCCACCUGUGACGGUGGAGAGCUGGCACUGUGGGUUCCAGUGGGAAGGGGUGAUGGGGAGGGGGAGGCUCCUCCCCCCGGGUCUGACCUACGAGGUUGGCUGAUGGUCCCGUCCCAUUCUGAGAGCUGGACACCUGGCCUUGCCAGGACUGGGGGGUGGGGGGUGGGUGGCACAAGAUGGAGGUAUAAAACGGAAGGAAUGUCAAGGGCAGGUCUGGAACCAAAAGGAAGACU
Molecule: long non-coding RNA, 1970 nt
Filed under: Sus scrofa (pig)
Lineage: Eukaryota; Metazoa; Chordata; Mammalia; Artiodactyla; Suidae
Description: lncRNA (ENSSSCG00005009126.1)
Source: RNAcentral